This 2926-nucleotide ribosomal RNA is filed under the name Escherichia coli. RNAcentral describes it as "23S ribosomal RNA". It matches the Rfam family "Bacterial large subunit ribosomal RNA". The record is from RNAcentral. Lineage: Bacteria; Pseudomonadati; Pseudomonadota; Gammaproteobacteria; Enterobacterales; Enterobacteriaceae.
GGGUUGUGAGGUUAAGCGACUAAGCGUACACGGUGGAUGCCCUGGCAGUCAGAGGCGAUGAAGGACGUGCUAAUCUGCGAUAAGCGUCGGUGAGGUGAUAUGAACCGUUAUAACCGGCGAUUUCCGAAUGGGGAAACCCAGUGUGUUUCGACACACUAUCAUUAACUGAAUCCAUAGGUUAAUGAGGCGAACCGGGGGAACUGAAACAUCUAAGUACCCCGAGGAAAAGAAAUCAACCGAGAUUCCCCCAGUAGCGGCGAGCGAACGGGGAGGAGCCCAGAGCCUGAAUCAGUGUGUGUGUUAGUGGAAGCGUCUGGAAAGGCGUGCGAUACAGGGUGACAGCCCCGUACACAAAAAUGCACAUAUUGUGAGCUCGAUGAGUAGGGCGGGACACGUGGUAUCCUGUCUGAAUAUGGGGGGACCAUCCUCCAAGGCUAAAUACUCCUGACUGACCGAUAGUGAACCAGUACCGUGAGGGAAAGGCGAAAAGAACCCCGGCGAGGGGAGUGAAAAAGAACCUGAAACCGUGUACGUACAAGCAGUGGGAGCCUCUUAAUGGGGUGACUGCGUACCUUUUGUAUAAUGGGUCAGCGACUUAUAUUCUGUAGCAAGGUUAACCGAAUAGGGGAGCCGAAGGGAAACCGAGUCUUAACUGGGCGUUAAGUUGCAGGGUAUAGACCCGAAACCCGGUGAUCUAGCCAUGGGCAGGUUGAAGGUUGGGUAACACUAACUGGAGGACCGAACCGACUAAUGUUGAAAAAUUAGCGGAUGACUUGUGGCUGGGGGUGAAAGGCCAAUCAAACCGGGAGAUAGCUGGUUCUCCCCGAAAGCUAUUUAGGUAGCGCCUCGUGAAUUCAUCUCCGGGGGUAGAGCACUGUUUCGGCAAGGGGGUCAUCCCGACUUACCAACCCGAUGCAAACUGCGAAUACCGGAGAAUGUUAUCACGGGAGACACACGGCGGGUGCUAACGUCCGUCGUGAAGAGGGAAACAACCCAGACCGCCAGCUAAGGUCCCAAAGUCAUGGUUAAGUGGGAAACGAUGUGGGAAGGCCCAGACAGCCAGGAUGUUGGCUUAGAAGCAGCCAUCAUUUAAAGAAAGCGUAAUAGCUCACUGGUCGAGUCGGCCUGCGCGGAAGAUGUAACGGGGCUAAACCAUGCACCGAAGCUGCGGCAGCGACGCUUAUGCGUUGUUGGGUAGGGGAGCGUUCUGUAAGCCUGUGAAGGUGGCCUGUGAGGGUUGCUGGAGGUAUCAGAAGUGCGAAUGCUGACAUAAGUAACGAUAAAGCGGGUGAAAAGCCCGCUCGCCGGAAGACCAAGGGUUCCUGUCCAACGUUAAUCGGGGCAGGGUGAGUCGACCCCUAAGGCGAGGCCGAAAGGCGUAGUCGAUGGGAAACAGGUUAAUAUUCCUGUACUUGGUGUUACUGCGAAGGGGGGACGGAGAAGGCUAUGUUGGCCGGGCGACGGUUGUCCCGGUUUAAGCGUGUAGGCUGGUUUUCCAGGCAAAUCCGGAAAACCAAGGCUGAGGCGUGAUGACGAGGCACUACGGUGCUGAAGCGACAAAUGCCCUGCUUCCAGGAAAAGCCUCUAAGCAUCAGGUAACAUCAAAUCGUACCCCAAACCGACACAGGUGGUCAGGUAGAGAAUACCAAGGCGCUUGAGAGAACUCGGGUGAAGGAACUAGGCAAAAUGGUGCCGUAACUUCGGGAGAAGGCACGCUGAUAUGUAGGUGAAGCGACUUGCUCGUGGAGCUGAAAUCAGUCGAAGAUACCAGCUGGCUGCAACUGUUUAUUAAAAACACAGCACUGUGCAAACACGAAAGUGGACGUAUACGGUGUGACGCCUGCCCGGUGCCGGAAGGUUAAUUGAUGGGGUUAGCGGCAACGCGAAGCUCUUGAUCGAAGCCCCGGUAAACGGCGGCCGUAACUAUAACGGUCCUAAGGUAGCGAAAUUCCUUGUCGGGUAAGUUCCGACCUGCACGAAUGGCGUAAUGAUGGCCAGGCUGUCUCCACCCGAGACUCAGUGAAAUUGAACUCGCUGUGAAGAUGCAGUGUACCCGCGGCAAGACGGAAAGACCCCGUGAACCUUUACUAUAGCUUGACACUGAACAUUGAGCCUUGAUGUGUAGGAUAGGUGGGAGGCUUUGAAGUGUGGACGCCAGUCUGCAUGGAGCCGACCUUGAAAUACCACCCUUUAAUGUUUGAUGUUCUAACGUUGGCCCGUAAUCCGGGUUGCGGACAGUGUCUGGUGGGUAGUUUGACUGGGGCGGUCUCCUCCUAAAGAGUAACGGAGGAGCACGAAGGUUGGCUAAUCCUGGUCGGACAUCAGGAGGUUAGUGCAAUGGCAUAAGCCAGCUUGACUGCGAGCGUGACGGCGCGAGCAGGUGCGAAAGCAGGUCAUAGUGAUCCGGUGGUUCUGAAUGGAAGGGCCAUCGCUCAACGGAUAAAAGGUACUCCGGGGAUAACAGGCUGAUACCGCCCAAGAGUUCAUAUCGACGGCGGUGUUUGGCACCUCGAUGUCGGCUCAUCACAUCCUGGGGCUGAAGUAGGUCCCAAGGGUAUGGCUGUUCGCCAUUUAAAGUGGUACGCGAGCUGGGUUUAGAACGUCGUGAGACAGUUCGGUCCCUAUCUGCCGUGGGCGCUGGAGAACUGAGGGGGGCUGCUCCUAGUACGAGAGGACCGGAGUGGACGCAUCACUGGUGUUCGGGUUGUCAUGCCAAUGGCACUGCCCGGUAGCUAAAUGCGGAAGAGAUAAGUGCUGAAAGCAUCUAAGCACGAAACUUGCCCCGAGAUGAGUUCUCCCUGAGACUUAGAGUCUCCUGAAGGAACGUUGAAGACGACGACGUUGAUAGGCCGGGUGUGUAAGCGCAGCGAUGCGUUGAGCUAACCGGUACUAAUGAACCGUGAGGCUUAACCUUACAACGCCGAAG